Long non-coding RNA from Neodiprion virginianus, 1490 nucleotides. RefSeq lists it as uncharacterized. Lineage: Eukaryota; Metazoa; Arthropoda; Insecta; Hymenoptera; Diprionidae. The record is from RefSeq and is a predicted model, not a curated record. The transcript is spliced from 2 exons.
CACGGCAAACGCCGCUGUUACUAGCGUUGCCAACUGCAGGCGGUUUCUAUGCGCUUACAAAUUUUCACCACCUCGUCAUGACACGGAUUCGACCGCGGUGUUAUAUUAUGCUUUGAGGAUUGUGGUAUAUUUUUCGAGGCCAUAUGGAACGAUUUUACUUUUCGAUACCUAGCUGCUUACCAACCAGCGCGAUAUUGCAGGUCCAAUUUUUGCGUCCGGCUAAAGAACGGAGCGGAAUUAAUUAUUCUUAAUAUUGGCGCAAGCGUUUUUUCUCUCUUUGGUACAUAAUUUCAAAUGCGACCUGGAGCUAAAUCACCAGCUUUGGAAACUUUUUGAAGCAGUGUAAACAAGGGCCGUAAAUAUACCAGAGUUCAAUGCCUAAAUAUCCCGGAACAUGAAAACGUCGAGAUGUAGGCAAUCCGUGUCAAGAUUACGUUGACUCGGUUGCUUAUGCGUAGGUACUAUAGCAAAUCAACAAAAAAAUAGAAUGGAUAGAAUGGAUGCACUUUUUAAAUUUCUUCACAGGGUUUGAGUUUUCAUAUCAUUCUAGAUGUGCGUAGAACUCCAUUUAUGCCAAACCCUUCGAGGCUACGCAACUGGUGUUGCAAGCAUUGAGAAAUUAACGCAUGAACGCCUACAGAUAGGCAAUGAAAGUAACAAGAUAGCUACGUAAAUGCAACACACAAAUUGCACGUAAAAAGAAUAUUAAUUACUGAUUUCAGAGCGGCUCUAAAAGUUGAAAUUACCUAUCUGUCAGACUAGAAACUUUAACUACUUACAGGUUGUGUUUGAUAUAACUAUUAUUCGCGUGUUUUCAUCCCUAACGAGUGACUUGUAACCAAUUUUACUCACGUUUUGAAGAGCCUUGUCCUUCUCUUCCAGCUUGGCGUUGACCUGCAUAAGCGCUUCCUGGGUCUGGUCAAGUUCAUUCUCGAUGGUCUGGAUCUUCUUCUGCAGGGAACGAGCCUCCUCUUCCGCCUGUUUUCGUAAAGAUCGAAUUUACAUUGUGUUAUUGAAUAUGUCACAUCAUUUUCUAUAGUAGCAAUAAAUCAGUGGAGAGAAAAAUUGGGAAGCAAAAUUUAGAUUUUCCAUUUGCUCGACAGAUAGUUCGAAAACAAUUUCGUCUUGAAAGUGACAAAAUCCAUUGCCACCAUCACAAUUAUAGCUGUAAGAAAAUAAAAAAAUUGAACAUGGUUGUGAAAAAUUUAAGCUUGCAUAAGAUCAUUACUGCAGUCAGUGGAUGUAAUCGUUGGGCAAACCGAUACAAUUCAGUGUCGUUUUCGCACGAAGGAUGAAAAUAAAACGCACGUGCUUGAGACGGCUGUCAAAUUUGAAAAAUUUGUGCCACCCACCUUUUCGGCACGCGCGUUCGCAUCGCGAGCCUGCUGUUCGCAGAGCAACGCGCGAUCCAUCGCGUUGUCCUUCUCCAGCUUCAUUCCCUGCAUCUUCUUCUUGAUCGCGUCCAUGGUAGCGACUUUUUUAAUUUACCU